RNAcentral lists this ribosomal RNA (492 nucleotides) under uncultured bacterium. Its description in RNAcentral is "bacterial SSU rRNA". It matches the Rfam family "Bacterial small subunit ribosomal RNA", at positions 8 to 518 of the family's 1533-position model. The record is from RNAcentral.
AGAGUUUGAUCCUGGCUUAGGAUGAACGCUGGCGGCGUGCCUAAUACAUGCAAGUCGAACGAGGUAGCAAUACCGAGUGGCGAACGGGUGAGUAACACGUAGGUAACCUGCCCUUAAGCUUGGGAUACCCAGAGGAAACUUUGGCUAAUACCGGAUAACAACAGAGAAGGCAUCUUCUUUGCUUGAAAGGCCCCUUCAAGGGUCACUUAAGGAUGGACCUGCGGCGCAUUAGCUAGUUGGUGAGAUAACAGCCCACCAAGGCGAGGAUGCGUAGCCGAACUGAGAGGUUGAUCGGCCACAUUGGAACUGAGACGCGGUCCAAACUCCUACGGGAGGCAGCAGUAAGGAGUUUUCGGCAAUGGGGGAAACCCUGAACCCGAGCAGCGCCGCGUGAGGGAAGAAGGUUUUCGGAUCGUAAACCUCUGUCCUUGGUGAAGAGGAAGAGACGGUAGCCAAGGAGGAAGCCCCGGCUAACUACGUGCCAGCAGCUGC